UAAAAAGAAAGCUUCAAGCUUAUAUUGUUCAUGGGUUGGGAAUGAAAAUUGAACUUUAUGAAAUCGAAACUCCUGUUGUCCUUAGAAGCCCAGUGGUAGAGUGGUCGGUUGUUAACUGAUUGGUCGUAGGUUCAAAUCCUACUUGGGGAGAUUUGAUUAAUUUUGUUCAGCGAGAUUAGGAAACCACCAUUAAUACCUCGGUCACUGACACCGAGAGACGAAAGCUAGGGGAGUGAAUGAGAUUAGAUACCCCAGUUGUCCUAGACGUAAAUGAUGGAUACUAGGCAUUGUGUGUAUCGACCCGUGCAGUGUUGUAGCUAACGCAUUAAGUAUCCCGCCUAGGGAGUAUGUUCGCAAGAAUGAAACUUAAAAUAAUUGACGAGGGCCCCCAUGAACAGGGGAUCAUGUGGUUUAAUUCAAUGGAAAGCGAAGAACCUUACCAGAUCUUGACAUGUCGUGAAUCCUCUUGAAAGAGAUGGGUACCUUCGCGAACACAGACAUAGGUGGUGCAUGGUUGUCGUCAGCUUGUUCUGUAAGGUUUUAGGUUAAGUCCUGUAACGAGCACAAACCUCAUGUUUAGUUGCCAUCGUUGAGUUUGGAAUCCUGAACAAACUAUCGAUGAUAAGCCGGAGGAAGGUGAGGAUGAUGUCAAGUCAUGAUGCCCCUUAUGCCCUGGGCGACACACGUGCUACAAUGACCGGGACAAAGGGUCGCGAUCCCCCAAGGGUGAGCUAACCCUAAAAACCCAUCCUCAGUUCAGAUUGCAGGCUGAAACUCGCCUGCAUGAAGACGGAAUCACUAGUAAUCGCUGGUCAGCCAUACAAUGGUGAAUCUUUUCUCGGGCCUUGUACACAUUGCCCGGGCGUAAUAAUCGACGAAAUGCUUCGGGGAUUUGAAAAUAAGAAUAGAUUCCCGAAUAGGGAAACAUUUCGAACUACUGCUGA
Molecule: non-coding RNA, 944 nt
Filed under: Nicotiana sylvestris (wood tobacco)
Lineage: Eukaryota; Viridiplantae; Streptophyta; Magnoliopsida; Solanales; Solanaceae
Description: Bacterial small subunit ribosomal RNA
Rfam family: Bacterial small subunit ribosomal RNA
Source: Rfam by way of RNAcentral